Molecule: ribosomal RNA, 484 nt
Filed under: uncultured bacterium
Lineage: Bacteria
Description: partial 16S ribosomal RNA
Rfam family: Bacterial small subunit ribosomal RNA
Source: RNAcentral
GACGAACGCUGGCGGCGUGCUUAACACAUGCAAGUCGAACGGGGUCCAGUCUGUAGCAAUACAGAGGAAGACCUAGUGGCGAACGGGUGAGGAACACGUGAGGAAUCUGUCCCGAACUCUGGGAUAACAGUUGGAAACGACUGCUAAUACCGGAUGCCGUCAUUGGAUCGCAUGAUUCGAUGACGAAAGAAUUUCGGUUCGGGAGGAUCUCGCGGCCUAUCAGCUUGUUGGUGGGGUAAUGGCCUACCAAGGCAUCGACGGGUAGCUGGUCUGAGAGGAUGAUCAGCCGCACUGGGACUGAGACACGGCCUAGACUCCUACGGGAGGCAGCAGUGGGGAAUCUUGCGCAAUGGGCGAAAGCCUGACGCAGCAACGCCGCGUGCGGGAAGAAGGCCUUCGGGUCGUAAACCGCUUUCAGCAGGAACGAAAAUGACGGUACCUGCAGAAGAAGGUGCGGCCAACUACGUGCCAGCAGCCGCGGUAA